GCCUGGAUAGCUCAGUUGGUUAGAGCAUAGUGCCGAUAACACCAAGGUUGCAGGUUCAAUCCCCGUAUGGGACA
RNAcentral lists this transfer RNA (74 nucleotides) under Podarcis lilfordi (Lilford's wall lizard). RNAcentral's name for it is "tRNA.Ile". The stretch from base 8 to 66 matches the Rfam family "tRNA", at positions 8 to 63 of the family's 71-position model. Rfam says of the family: Transfer RNA (tRNA) molecules are approximately 80 nucleotides in length. Their secondary structure includes four short double-helical elements and three loops (D, anti-codon, and T loops). The record is from RNAcentral. Lineage: Eukaryota; Metazoa; Chordata; Lepidosauria; Squamata; Lacertidae.